AUACGUAGGGGGCGAGCGUUGUCCGGAAUUAUUGGGCGUAAAGGGUUCGCAGGCGGUCUGAUAAGUCAGAUGUGAAAGGCAAUGGCUCAACCAUUGUAAGCAUUUGAAACUGUCAGACUUGAGUUAAGGAGAGGAAAGUGGAAUUCCUAGGGUAGCGGGGAAAUGCGUAGAGAUUGGGAGGAACACCAGUGGCGAAGGCGACUUACUGGGCCGUAACUGACGCUGAGGCGCGAAAGCGUGGGGAGCGAACAGGAUUAGAUUCCCUGGUAGUCCACGCGGUAAACGAUGAAUGCUAGGUGUUGCGGGUAUCGACCCCUGCAGUGCCGGAGUAAACACAAUAAGCAUUCCGCCUGGGGAGUACGGCCGCAAGGUUGAAACUCAAAUGAAUUGACGGGG
Molecule: ribosomal RNA, 396 nt
Filed under: uncultured bacterium
Lineage: Bacteria
Description: partial 16S ribosomal RNA
Rfam family: Bacterial small subunit ribosomal RNA
Source: RNAcentral